UCCUACGGGGGGCUGCAGUAGGGAAUUUUCGGCAAUGGGGGAAACCCUGACCGAGCAACGCCGCGUGAAUGAAGAAGUAUUUCGGUAUGUAAAGUUCUUUUAUUGAGGAAGAAUGGGUUGGGUAGGAAAUGACCUGACCGUGACGGUACUCAAUGAAUAAGCCCCGGCUAACUAUGUGCCAGCAGCCGCGGUAAUACAUAGGGGGCAAGCGUUAUCCGGAAUUAUUGGGCGUAAAGGGUGCGUAGGCGGUCUGUUAAGUCUAAGGUGUAAGUGCAAGGCUCAACCUUGUGAUGCUUUAGAAACUGGUGGACUAGAGAUAGAUAGAGGCAAGUGGAAUUCCAUGUGUAGCGGUAAAAUGCGUAAAUAUAUGGAGGAACACCAGUGGCGAAGGCGGCUUGCUGGGUCUAUACUGACGCUGAGGCACGAAAGCGUGGGGAGCAAACAGGAUUAGAUACCCGAGUAGUCG
Molecule: ribosomal RNA, 466 nt
Filed under: uncultured Acholeplasmataceae bacterium
Lineage: Bacteria; Bacillati; Mycoplasmatota; Mollicutes; Acholeplasmatales; Acholeplasmataceae
Description: bacterial SSU rRNA
Rfam family: Bacterial small subunit ribosomal RNA
Source: RNAcentral